CACCCCUUAGUUUAACUGGAUAAAACGAGGACCUCCUAAGUCUUUGAUACAGGUUCAAGUCCUGUAGGGGUGG
RNAcentral lists this transfer RNA (73 nucleotides) under Glaciecola sp. KUL10. RNAcentral describes it as "Glaciecola sp. (strain KUL10) tRNA". It matches the Rfam family "tRNA". Rfam says of the family: Transfer RNA (tRNA) molecules are approximately 80 nucleotides in length. Their secondary structure includes four short double-helical elements and three loops (D, anti-codon, and T loops). The record is from Rfam by way of RNAcentral. Lineage: Bacteria; Pseudomonadati; Pseudomonadota; Gammaproteobacteria; Alteromonadales; Alteromonadaceae.